Molecule: ribosomal RNA, 256 nt
Filed under: uncultured bacterium
Lineage: Bacteria
Description: partial 16S ribosomal RNA
Rfam family: Bacterial small subunit ribosomal RNA
Source: RNAcentral
CGAAGGGGCUAGCGUUGUUCGGAAUCACUGGGCGUAAAGGGUGCGUAGGCGGAUUCUUAAGUCAGGGGUGAAAUCCCGAAGGCCUCAACCUCGGAACUGCCCUUGAUACUGGGGAUCUUGAGUCCGGAAGAGGUGAGUGGAACUGCGAGUGUAGAGGUGAAAUUCGUAGAUAUUCGCAAGAACACCAGUGGCGAAGGCGGCUCAACUGGUCCGGAACUGACGCUGAGGCACGACAGCGUGGGGAGCAAACAGGAUU